UUCCGGUUGAUCCCGCCGGACCUGACUGCUAUCGGAUUGAUACUAAGCCAUGCGAGUCUUUGCAGUAAUGCAAGGCAUACGGCUCAGUAACACGUAGUCAACUUACCCUAUGGACGAGGAUAAUCUCGGGAAACUGAGCAUAAUACUCGAUAGAUCAUAAUGCCUGGAAUGGUUUGUGGUUAAAAUGAUUCGUCGCCAUAGGAUGGGACUGCGGCCUAUCAGCUUGUUGGUGAGGUAAUGGCCCACCAAGGCGAUUACAGGUACGGGCUCUGAGAGGAGAAGCCCGGAGAUGGGUACUGAGACAAGGACCCAGGCCCUAUGGGGCGCAGCAGGCGAGAAAACUUUGCAAUGUGCGAAAGCACGACAAGGUUAAUCCGAGUGAUUUCUGCUAAAGAAAUCUUUUGCAAGUCAUAAAACCACUAGUGAAUAAGGGGUGGGCAAGUUCUGGUGUCAGCCGCCGCGGUAAAACCAGCACCUCAAGUGGUCAGGAGGAUUAUUGGGCCUAAAGCAUCCGUAGCCGGCUCUGUAAGUUUUCGGUUAAAUCCAUGUGCUCAACGCAUGGGCUGCCGAAAAUACUGCAUAGCUAGGGAGUGGGAGAGGUAGACGGUACUCGGUAGGAAGGGGUAAAAUCCUUUGAUCUAUCGAUGACCACCUGUGGCGAAGGCGGUCUACCAGAACACGUUCGACGGUGAGGGAUGAAAGCUGGGGGAGCAAACCGGAUUAGAUACCCGGGUAGUCCCAGCUGUAAACGAUGCAGACUCGAUGAUGCAUUGGCAUAUAGCCAGUGCAGUGUCGCAGGGAAGCCGUUAAGUCUGCCGCCUGGGAAGUACGUACGCAAGUAUGAAACUUAAAGGAAUUGGCGGGGGAGCACCACAAGGGGUGAAGCCUGCGGUUCAAUUGGAGUCAACGCCGGG
RNAcentral lists this ribosomal RNA (914 nucleotides) under uncultured marine archaeon. Its description in RNAcentral is "bacterial SSU rRNA". It matches the Rfam family "Archaeal small subunit ribosomal RNA", at positions 1 to 922 of the family's 1478-position model. The record is from RNAcentral.